Molecule: small nucleolar RNA, 106 nt
Organism: Arachis stenosperma
Lineage: Eukaryota; Viridiplantae; Streptophyta; Magnoliopsida; Fabales; Fabaceae
Source: RefSeq, a predicted model, not a curated record
AACAGGUCUGGUGGGCACCGUCUUGUCAAGUCUUUAUAUCUCUCCCAUGCUUCAUAGAGAGUUUCACCAUCUUGUUGUCUAAAGUUUUAGACCUCCUUAAUCUAUU